This 6226-nucleotide long non-coding RNA is filed under the name Marmota monax (woodchuck). The record is from RNAcentral. Lineage: Eukaryota; Metazoa; Chordata; Mammalia; Rodentia; Sciuridae.
CAGAUUCCCAAACCUUGUUUCCCAGGCCUGAGCCUUGCUUUCAGUGUGAAAAUUGGCAUAGUCAGCAGGCUUCAGCCCAGGUAAGAGAUACAUUGACCCUGUGGGGCAAGGGGGGAACCUGUGGCCACCAGGUAGUAUGUGGUCACCACAGUCAUAUUGAAAUGGGCUCCUAUGGAGAAUUGGGAUACCAUGGAUGGGUCACCUGUGAAUGCAAAGGAACCUUUGCAAACGUUGAGUUCCAGCUUAAAAGACAGUGUUGCCCAGGAAGCAGCGGGACAAGAGGGGUGGAUUUUUCUCCCUGCUUUGAAAACCAACACAGACCAGGCUCUACCAGAAGCUGCCCAGCUCCAGGCCCUCCAGGGGAAGCAGGAAGCCUUGAAGCAGCGCAUUUGCGGUUUGGAAGCUGAUAUAUAUGAAACAGGCAGGACCUCGACCUUGUAGGUCACGGUGGAAUCUGAAGAAGAGUCUGAGGAGAAGCCCUGGCUACAAGCCCACCCCACGAUGCAGAAGAUGAGACAUGAGCAGCCCCAGAACCUUGGAGGUCAGGCACUGGGAGAGGCAAAUGCUACAGAGUACACUACAUACUGGCCAGACACACAGGCAGAAUAAGUGGACUUGGGCAAGCAGUGUCACCAGCAGCUUGGGGAGUCCCUGGCUGUGUGGUUUUUGUGAUUGUGGGAUCUAGGGGUGGACAGCAUGGUCUGCUGUCCAGAGGAGAUGGAGCACCUGGCAUCCAUCACAACCCACCCUUCCCUGAGACAGCCAUCGCAGAACAGUUGCAGGCCUGGAAAUGGAAUCGCUCCCCAAUAGACUGGGGAUGUAUGCAGCUGUGCGAGCUGUGUGGACUGAGGCUGGUGAGCUGCCCAAAACUGUGAGUAAGUGGCAGUCGUGUGUCGAUUUGGUGCAGAUUCUAUAUGAGUGUGGCAUGCGUCAGGCGAUAUUUAAUCUGAAUACAUGGGGACCAGAUGGUGAAAGAUUUACUGGUGGCAUUAGAGACUUGGUUUUGUAGAAUGCUCCACUCUCCACUUUGAUGGUUACUUUAAGCCACAUAUGUUGGAUGUCCCAUUAAUGAAGUUAGUACUAUGAUGGCUAGCUUGGGGGAAGCCAAGGAGGGCAGAGGGUAGUAAAAAAAAUGCACAUGGUGGCGCAUGCCUGUAAUCUCAGUGGCUCGGGAGGCUGCAGCAGGAGGAUUGUGAGUUCAAAGUCAGCCUCAGCAACUUAGUGAGGCCCUAAGCAACUCAGUGAGACCCUGUCUCUAAAUAAAAUACCAAAUAGGGCUGGGAUGUGGCUCAGUGGUUGAGUGCCCCUGAGUUCAAUUCCCAGUGCCAAAAAAAAAAAAGGUGGGGGGGUACAAUGAGAGGGGUCUGGAAACAAGGUAAACAAAGGAAAAAAGGGCCUGCUAGAGUCACUUGUAUGCAUAUGUGGGCAGGUCUCCUGACAGGAGGGGUAGAUCACCUCAAGACAGACAGUCAGCCCAAUGCAGUCCUCCCUGAGCAACUGGGCCCAAAGCAGCAAAACCUGCGAACAGCAGAGGUGAAUAAGCCACCCUGAGAAGCCAUCCUGUGUAACUGAAAGACUACUUGGCUGCUUCUAAGGGGGAGAAGGGACUUUGGUCCAGUACAUCUAGGAAUCCAGCUAAGGUGCCUGCCCUGUGGGGACAGGUGGGGGCUGAUAGCCACAUGUGGAGCUUGCUAUCCAUGGUCUCCAAACUAUAUGCAGAGGGAAUUGGCCUUGUUGGGGGGCGGGUCCUGGAGCUGAGUGCAGCUUGGUGUUUGACAACCUGGAUAAAUUCCCAGGUCCAUAUGCUCAUAUUGAUGGCUAUGGGGGACAGACCAUCAAGGUAAAGCCAGUGUCCUUACCACGGGGGAUAGGUCAUUUGCCCCUGUGAGCAUAUACGGUACAAGUGUCUGGUAUCCCAGAGUAUAUUUUGGGUAGAGAUGUGUUCCAAGGUCCACUGCUGCAGACCCUGGUGGCAAUUCUGCCUCCAUGUGUGAGAUGUGAAGGUGGAUAUGACAGGAUAUGCAAAACACCCGCCCCAGGUCUUGCCACAACCCUGGAGGACUGUGACAGUGAAACAGUAUUGCCUCAUGGGGGACAUGCAGAAAUUGAAGCUACUGUGCCAGGCAUGGUGGCGCAUGUCUGUAAUCCCAGCGACUCAGGAGGCUGAGGCAGGAGGAUCACGAGUUCAAAGCCAGCCUCAGCGAUGUCAAGGCACUAAGCAACUCAGUGAGAUCCUGUCUCUCAAUAAAACACAAUAAAAGGGCUGGGGAUGUGGUUCAGUGGUGGAGUGCCCCUGCGUUAAAAAAAAAAAAAAAACUGGAGCUACUGUCUUGGAAGUGGAGGAAGUAGGCAAAAUAUGGCCCCCAGCCCGCCCCUUUAACUCUCCAGUGUGACCACUGAAGAAGCCUGAGGGCACGUGGAGAAUGCCUGUGGAUUACCAAGAAUGGAACAGAGUGGUGCCUUCCCUGUAUGCAGCGGUUCCCGCAGUGCAUGAUCUCAUGGACCAGCCAACUCUGUGCCCUAAUCGCUCUGCGCUGGACCUGGCUAAUGCUUUCUUUUCUAUUGCUCUGGCCCCAGGGAGCCAGAAGCAGUUUGUCUUCACAUGGAAAGGCUGGCAGCGGACAUUUCAAGUGUUGCCACAAGGUUAUUUGCAUAGCCUGACCACAUGCCAUGGUUUGGUGGCUAGUGACCUGAUCCAGUGGACUCAGCCACCUACUGCACGUUUCAUUAUGCUGAUGAUGCUUCGUUGACUUCUCUCUUAUACGAAUUUAGAGCUUGCAUCCCCGACCUUAGUGGCCCAUUUGAAGACGUGUGGCUGGUAGUAAACGCUGCCAAGGUGCAGGGGCCUGGCUUCUUGGUUACGUUCUUGGGUGUUUUUUGGUUGGGUGAAAUGAAAGCUGUGCCAGAAGUCAGGCACGGUGGCACAUGCCUGUAAUCCCGGCAGCUCUGGAGGCUCAGGCAGGAGGAUCACGAGUUUAAAGCCAGCCUCAGCAACUGCAAGGCACUAAACAACUCAGUGAGACCCUGUUUCUAAAUAAAAUAAAAAUAGGGCUGGGGAUGUGCCUCAGUGGUUAAGCACCCAUGGGUUUGAUCCUCAGUACCAAAAAAAAAAAAAGAGUUGUGCCAGAAGCUUUUGAGAAAAUCCAAGCAUAUGACCAACAACAGUUGCACAAUUGCAAACCUCUGUGGGCUCAUUGGGAUAUUGGCAGGCUUUCAGUCCCCAUGUAGCCCUGUUGUGUCAUCCCCUGUAUGCUCUAGUGAAGAAAGGGGCACCGGGGGACUGGAGUGAAGUGCUGAGCUGGCCUUUCAGGCCACGAAGAGGGCCACUCAGCAAGCUCAGGUCCUGCAUUGGUAGACCCCCUCACCCCUUUGAGCUGGAUGUUCAUGUAACCCGGGAGGGUUUGGGGUGGGGCCUGUGCAGUAGCAGGAGCGGCUGUGAAGACCAGUGGGUUUCCGUCACAGUAGUGAAGAGUACAGAGGAUCUCUGCACCCUGAUGGAGCAGCAGCUUGCAGCCCUGUGUGUAGCCUGGUGGCCAGGAGGCCAUUACUGGUGCUGCUGAGGGUUUGGUGCCUACCACGAAUCCUUUGAGAGGAGAGGUGUGGAACUGGGCAGUCACCCCGAGGACAGGCAUAGUCCUGAUGCCUGCUCUAGUGAAACGGGGCAUAUUUAGAACACAGGAGAGCUUUGUCCACUAGUCCUCUGACCCAUGAACUUCAACAGGUUCCAGGGCUGCUGCAGUAUGCACCUGAGGAAGCACCAGACCAUGCUGAUGAACUUGAGCUGACAGAGUCAUGCCCUUUAAGGAAGGGCCAGCCCUGUGGGCCACAGUGCUUGGAGCAGUGAGGGGUCCAGUACAGGGCCCUCUGCCCAUGGGAGAGCUGUAGCUUCACAGCCCUCUACCGACACCUUGUGGCACAAUGUGGGAAUGAACAGAGCCGCUAGAGGACUGAGUUUGGUGGCACUGCAGGAACCAGGACCCCUGAUUAUCUGUCCAGUUAGUUGGUCUGUUUGAGGGGUUAACUCUGUGGGUGACUACCUGGGAAGUAGAGAAUUGGAUGGUAGGGCAUUGGCCUUUGUGGGGUCAAGCCAUGGGGCAGAACCUUGGGGCCACAGGCCAUGAGAAGGAGAUAACUGUAGGACAUGACCCUGGCCACGCCCCCUGACUAGCCCAGGGAAUGAUGGAGCAGAGGCUUGGGCCAGGGUGUGGUGGCAGCUGCAUCAUGCCUACAGCAUGCAGGUGGCUUGUAGUCAAACAGCGGGCUCUGCCUCUAAAAUGGGAUGCCCUGGUAGGGGCCUGCCAGGCACGUAUGGUUUGUGCUCGGCAAUGCUCACACCACCUAUGACUUGGAGCCAGAGGUGGUCAGGUAAUGUGUGGAUGCAUCCCUUUGACAUGAUGGCAGGUUGGCUACGUUGGCCCUUCACCUUUCUGAAGGGGCCACAUUUGCCUUGACGGUAGUGGACAAGCUGCAGCCUUGUUGUUUGCCUGGCCCAGUGGUCAAGUGACCAGAGUACUAUGAUUUGCACCCUGACCAUGUUGACAGCCUUGUAUGGCUGGCCCAUCACAAUAGAGAGUGAUCAAGGGACCCAUUUCCCAGGUUACAAUGUGCAGCAAUGGGCAACUCAGUUACAGAUUCAAUGGAAGGUAUGAGUCCCAGGCCACCCACAAUCUGCUGGACUCAGAACAGCAGUCAACCCACCUGCCACCAACAGGUGGGCACAGCGUCUGGGCAGUUGUGAGAGCUCUGAAUGUGUGUCUCCAACGAGGGGGACCAGCUCCUGUUAAGGCUUUGCUGCACUGCACAGGGCCCAAUACAGGUCCAGGUGACAGCAGAGGAUGUGGACUUAAGCCUAGGUUUGAGAAGCAAGGGGAUGUUCUCUACCUGCUCCCACUGGAUUGAGCAGGGCAAACUGUGGCGUGGGUGAGACCCUCAACAAUAAAAAGCCCCCCUCAUUCGUUGGGUAGCCCUGUUAGCCCUAAGGAGAAGAGGCUUGGCAUGUGAUCUCCUUGUGACACCAUAGGUGACUAGUGAAUUGCUCUCCCCGACAGGUGACUUGGCGGGGUCCUGCAGAAGGAACAUAUAAUAAUAAUAAUAAUAAUAAUAAUUAUUAUUAUUAUUAUUUGGUACUGGGGAUUGAACCCAGGAGUGCUUAACCACUGAGCCACAUCCCCAGCCCUUUUUUAAUAUUUUAUUUAGAGACAGGGUCUUGCUGACCUACAUAAGUCCUUGCUAAGUUGUUGAGGCUAAAUUUCAACUUGCAAUCCUCCUGCCUCAGGCUCCCAAGCCACUGGGAUUAUUACAGGCGUGUGCCACUGUGCCUGGCUGGGACACAGAUUUUAGAGGGCACAUUUGUUAUUUCCACUUGGCCAAUUAUGAGUUCCUGGUACUGGUGCACAUAGAGCCUGCUGAAGUUCAGGACCAAGUCGUGUGAGUGUGGGACCACUAUACAUCAGGGAAGCUGCCACAAACAGCCAAGGUACUUCCUUGGGAUUCAGAGCUGGCAUGCAUCCUCCCUGAUGGACAUGACUUGCCUGUGCUAGUGCCUGGAACUGCUUUGUGUUUUUGUCUAUAGGUGUGUUCUUGCUAACACCACCGUGGACUGGGUACAUGCCUACACCAGAGCAGCAAACCCUCUGCCUGCUGGGUACGCACCGAAGUGCCUGGGAGUUCUGCUGCUGGACUACCUGGCAAAUCCAGACUACCACUGGACAGCUAGAUGUGACGGGGAAAGACUUUUAUUGCCACUCAAUAUGGGAUGGCAAUGGCUUUUAUUAAUCCUGGUGAUGGGACUUGUUUUUGAUUGUAUGUUGUUACAAUGUGUAUUUCUGUUGUGGCCUAUGGGUGCAGGGCUCUGUCCUCCUCACUAAGGGGUCAUUGCAGAAGAUUUCAGAUACAUAGAUUGUUCGGUGAGGAAUCUUAAAGGGGUGGUGUUGGGGCAGGACCAGAGUGGUUAUAGUUAGGCUGUCUUGCCAAGGCUUCUGGUGAGCUAUGGUACGCUUUUAGUGUGUGGCCAAGGCCAUGAAUCAGCUAUGUCAUGGUCAGUGUGUAGUCAGGUCAGAAAUACUCUGAUUCAGCCUAUGUACUCAAGUUCAUGAACAUUCACUUGUUAGCAUGCACCCACUUCUGUAACCCAUUAGCCAUGUGCCUUCUUUGUUUGGCCUGCAUAUAAAAAAAAAGGCCUAUGGAAAUGGCUCAGGGGCUGGGUAGAGGCUACUGUCACUUCUGA